UGUGCUUGAAAUUCACUACCCGACUGAGGGACCUUACAGAUAAUUGUAUGUGUGUGGUACAGAGAUGGGGUUAUCGUUCAAAAAUAAUGUUACCCACUAUUAUGGCACACUGAGUCCGUGCAACUUAUUAAGCAAAUGUUUAUUCCUGAACGUAUUUAGGCUUUCCAUAACAAAGGGGUUGAAUACUUAUCGACUCAAGAGAUUUAAAUUGUACAUUUUUUAUUAAUUUGUAAAAAUUACAUUGGGGUAUUGUGUGUAGAUCAGUGGCACAAAUUCUUGAUUCAAUCGAUUUUAAAUUCAGGCUGUAACACAAAAUGUGGGGAAAGUCAAGGGGUGUGACUACGUUAUGAAGGUGCUGUAACAUAAUGGUUGAAGACCAUUGAAUAUUUAAAUUUAUGCUCUUUAAAAUUAAUGCUGAGACAUUUAGAUGCCAAACACACUUUUCGGAGGGGGAAAUUUACCAGGGGUCCAAGGUUUGGAGGGAUGGAGUCACACGUCACACAUUCUGUGGCAUGUCACAGAUCACAUCAGGCCCUAUAAUUGUGUGUCUAAUCUCAACAUCCUAUAUAGAAUUGUAGGUUCUUGAUUUCUCAACAGAUUAUUUGGGCCUGCCAUUUAUAUCAUGCUAAAUGGGGUUUAGUAUAUGACUAACAUUAAAAUGUAAAGACACAGAUAUGCAAUUUGGUUGUAUUAUCCCUGUAGCAUUGUUGAGAACAGAGCAUUUAUUUAUUCAUGUGAUCAGCAGAUUCUUUUAACUCUUCUGCAAGCUGCUCUGUAGAUGUUGUUGGUUCAUCAGAUUCUGAUAACACUGUUACUCUGACACAAAUUCCUAGCAGAAACAGGAGAGCAGAGGAAGAUAGUGCAGCCAAAAUGAUUGAGGACAUUCUCCAGUGAAAAGCUGGAGGGGAAAGGAUCAUGAACGAGUGUGCUCGGACAAAAAGCUUCACUGACCGCACCAGACGUAAUUCGAUCAAUCUAGUCAUUAUCAUUAUUUUUGGUUCAUAACAAGUCCCCCACGACAUGUGAAGGAAGCAUAUGCAAGAGGAAUAGUUUCCUUCUUUCCGUACCUGGACAACCCCAAAAGCAUGACUGACUAUGCCUACUAUUACAAUGCAGAAGACGGGUGUGGCUACUUGGCAUGGAGACUGAAGCACCUGCAAAAGGAGCCUGCAGAGGGAAGAAUAAAGUCCCCUCGCAGAUGACUAGCAGGCUGGUCAGGUGGUUGGCAUACAUACUGUAAUUGUAUUUUAUUUAUGUGUGUAUGGUUUGUGCUCGCUUGGAUGCAGGCAUGUGAGGGUGUGUUCACAAAUGCGUGAGACUUUUUUGUUACGGGUUUUUCCUCAAGAUUCAGUGUAAUGGGGUUUGUUUGGACUGUUUAUACCAGUGUUGUGUGUUCCUCUCCUUUUUAAUCUUUGGUUGAAGGUGGACCAGCUGCUGAACAGAGACCCCUUCACAGAUAACGACUGGCUGAGUGAAGAAGGGCAGUGUCCAGAGGCCAUCGUGCUGAUGAAACACACUUCUGAUGAAACACACUUCUGAUGAAACACACUUCUGAUGAAGCAACCGUUGAAGAAAAGAUUAAGUUGACCUUUGCCUACUCCCAAAAAAUUGUCCAUGACCCAACUGAGCUUCAGGACCUGAUACACAACGCUGAGUCCACAGCUGAUGUGGAAAAUGGCAGAGGCAUACCACUUUACACUGUAAUAUGAAGUUCUAGCUUAGACAGUGACAUGUCGUCCAUUCUUCUUAUCAUCCAUCUUCUGCCUCCCUCCUCGCAAGGCCGCAACAAGCCGAGAAAGAUGUCAGCAAGACAUGCAGCUGAACAUCUUGUGAAGUUCAUCAAGGCAGGGACCAGCAUCCAGCAGCAUCUUGAUGGCAUCACCGGAAGUAGUGAUUGAUAAACAUACAGUACCUUAUAAGGCAUCUGGCUCACUGGGCAGUUUUGAUGAGCUUUUCAAAGCUCACUUUGGUACCUCAUAAAGUCAGGGUCUGGCAAACAUGUACACUUUUCUCCAAAUGACAAUUUCUGACAUUGACGUUGAUACAACUAAGGCGAAUCCCAGGGUAGCAGAGCUGAGGGCCAGGAUGUUGCAUUAAACAGAUCUAUUUGAGACAUAGACAUUUUUUGUUUUGUUUGCAAAUGCCGCCAGGCAAAUGCCAAAAGCAUUGUGAAACAUCUGAAGUUAAUCCACAGUCUUUGUCCAGGGAAUUCUCUGUGUUUAUAGUGUGGUCAGGUUGGUUGUUCACAUGUAUUUGUCACUUUCUUCUGGAUUUAGAAAGUAUCAUAACAAGGAAAAUGAAGAGCGAUCCGUAGCAGUUUCUGAUAAUUAUGGUGGAGGCCCCUCUAACACUGCUAACAGUCUUGCAGCAAACUAUGUUGGUGAUGUGCUAGCCCCAAGCUCACAUUGUGAUUCAGCUCUGUAUAAUAAGAGUAUUGCAGAUAAUUGUGCCGCAACAAUAGCUCAACUCAAAUCAGCGGGAGUUGGUAAAACAACAUUGAACACUUUAGUCAGUUCCAUGGAAGAGAUAGUUGAUGAUAUCCACAGUCAAGCUAAAGAGUCAGCCUUUACAGGAAACUGGCAACAAUUAUAUUGGGUGUAAAAUAGAAUCAGUGUUUUGGGCAAAUUGAAAAUUCUUUCAGUGUAUUGAAUUCUGAAACCAAAAGGUUGAAAUAUUUCUCAGAAGUGGGGAACUGUAAAUCCAGUUGAAUAUGUUCUUGGCACAAUGCAAUGGAACAUAUGACCAGUUUAUUGUUACAGAUAAACUAAUGUACGUAACCCCAUUUUGUUACAUCUCUAACAUCUGUUAGAGUUCAUUGACAAAGACUUUGAAAUCGCUAAUCCUCUUGGAUCGACGCGUGGCAUGCAUAAAUUGGGUUCAAUUUACUUUAAGAACUGUCUCCAAAUUGGAAUUUCUCUGCUCAAUAUUCACCUGGUUUCUCUAUUUUAUGCUCAAGACAUAAAAACCUAUGGGUUUCACUCACUACUAGACCCAAUUGUACGAGAUAUAAAUAUUUUGUAAAGUGAGUUACUGUUACGAUCACCAAAUUCAUGGUGUAUCACAACCGGACGUGAUUGGGAGUCCCAUAGGGUGGCGCACAAUUGACCAAGCGUCGUUCGGGUUUGGCCGGUGUAGGCCGUCAUUUUCUAUAAGAAAAUGUCUUGCCUAGUUAAAUACAAAUGAAAUCUGUUGCUGUAGCUGAUGAGGUGUGGAAACACUUUGUUGCUGUUGUGGAUUUUGCGUUGUUGCUCUGUCUGCGUGCUAGGUGUUGCUUGUCCUAUGUUGCUCUGCAUGUGCUCACUGCUCAUUGUUCGUAUUGUUUUGUAAUGGCUUUUUUUAGCCGGCUGGCUAAAACUCACUUUUAUUGAAACGUUGAUUAAUGUGCUCUGUCCCUGUAAAAAUAAACUCAAAUUCAAGUAGACAAAUCGACUGUAACACUGGAGAAAAUACAAUGUUGACUAUUUGAAGUAACAAAAGCAGCAAAUGCCAGUGUUGAUCAUUUGGAGUCACCAACUCAAUAAAGGUAAGUGGUAGAUUGUAUAGUAGAUGCCAAGACUGAAUGGCAUUUAAGCCCAAAUCAUUGGAACCCUCAAGUAACUUCACUGCAGAGGGUCUGUUGUUUCUUUCCAUAUAACAAUAGUUGAAGCUCUAAAUUCUCAUGUCAAUUUCUUUUGAGGUUAAAUUCUCAUUUUUGCAUGUGUUGUAGAAGCAAUUUCACCUCAUAUUGCUGAUGAUAUCAACUGAAAAAUUCUCACUUGUAUGAAAGUACUGUAAUGAAUUAAGCAGGCAAGUGUCACACCCUGACCUUAGUGUUCUUUGUUUUCCUUGUUAUUUUGGUUAGGUCAGGGUGUGACAUGGGUGAUGUAUGUGUUUUGUCUUGUAUGUUUAUGGGGCUGUUUCCUUUCUAGGUGUUUAUGUAAGUAUGGUUGCCUAGAUUGGUUCUCAAUUAGAGGCAGGUGCUUAUCGUUGUCUCUGAUUGGGAACCAUAUUUAGGCAGCCAUGUUUUUUGGGUAUUUUGUGCCACACGGGUGAUUGUUUCCUGUUCACUUUGUUGUUUUGUAUUUGUGUUCAUGUUGAGUUUUCAUAUUAAAUACCAUGGACACUUA
This is a long non-coding RNA of Oncorhynchus tshawytscha (Chinook salmon), 4106 nucleotides long. RefSeq lists it as uncharacterized. Lineage: Eukaryota; Metazoa; Chordata; Actinopteri; Salmoniformes; Salmonidae. The record is from RefSeq and is a predicted model, not a curated record. The transcript has 5 exons.